UUUUAACCUAUUGCAUCUUUCGCUGUUAAAAAUUGUGUAUUUCAUAUAUUUUUGUUUGUUUACUUCGAAAUUAUUUUAAUAAGAAUCUGUAAAAUAACCCUUUUCGGACCUUACACUAAAGGCUCCGCCUACUUUUUAAAACUAUCACGGGCUUCAGAAACAGCGGGUAAUCAGUUUGAAAAGAUUUUUCGACAGCGAUGAAUGCAUCUUUACAUUGGUGACAAAAAAACUGUUUUAGAUGUUCUGGAUAAGGACAC
Molecule: long non-coding RNA, 257 nt
Filed under: Mytilus galloprovincialis (Mediterranean mussel)
Lineage: Eukaryota; Metazoa; Mollusca; Bivalvia; Mytilida; Mytilidae
Source: RNAcentral